GAUGAACGCUGGCGGCGUGCUUAACACAUGCCAGUCGAACGAAGCACCUCUCCCGAAGAUUGACACAGCUUGCUGUAGAUUGAUUCAUUUGAGGUGACUGAGUGGCGGACGGGUGAGUAACGCGUGGGUAACCUGCCUCAUAGAGGGGGACAACAGUUGGAAACGACUGCUAAUACCGCAUAGUAAGAAGAAUUCGCAUGUUUUCUUCUUGAAAGAUUUAUCGCUAUGAGAUGGACCCGCGUCUGAUUAGCUAGUUGGUAAGGUAACGGCUUACCAAGGCGACGAUCAGUAGCCGGCUUGAGAGAGUGAACGGCCACAUUGGGACUGAGACACGGCCCAAACUCCUACGGGAGGCAGCAGUGGGGAAUAUUGCACAAUGGGGGAAACCCUGAUGCAGCGACGCCGCGUGAGUGAAGAAGUAUUUCGGUAUGUAAAGCUCUAUCAGCAGGGAAGAUAAUGAAGGUACCUAACGAAGAAGCCCCGGCUAACUACGUG
RNAcentral lists this ribosomal RNA (495 nucleotides) under uncultured bacterium. RNAcentral describes it as "partial 16S ribosomal RNA". It matches the Rfam family "Bacterial small subunit ribosomal RNA", at positions 28 to 507 of the family's 1533-position model. The record is from RNAcentral.